Molecule: ribosomal RNA, 506 nt
Filed under: Dysdera scabricula
Lineage: Eukaryota; Metazoa; Arthropoda; Arachnida; Araneae; Dysderidae
Description: partial 16S ribosomal RNA
Rfam family: Bacterial large subunit ribosomal RNA
Source: RNAcentral
UUAAUUUAAAGUAAUUCCUGNUCAGUGCCAAAUUUAAACAGCCGCAGAAUUUUAUACUGUGCUAAGGUAGCAUAAUCACUUGUCUUUUAAUUUAAGAAUAGAAUGAACGGAAAAACGAAUUAAAUUCUGCCUCACUUUUUUUUAACAAAACUUUUUAAAAGUAAAAACACUUUUGGCUUACAAAAAAGACGACAAGACCCUAAGAAACUUUACUCAAGUUUAGCUGGGGCGGCCUUUUAAAAAUAUCUUAUAUUAAAUUUUUCUAACCGUCAUCUCUUACAUAGUUACUCUAGGGAUAACAGCAUAAUUUUAUUUUAAAGCUCUUAUACAAAAUAAAGAUUAUGACCUCGAUGUUGAAUUAUAAAUCUCUUAAUUGAAAAUUAUUAAAAAGAGAGUCUGUUCGACUCACAACAAUAUACAUGAUUUGAGUUCAGACCGGUGAAAGCCAGGUCGGUUUCUAUCUUUUUUAUCAUACUAUUAGUACGAAAGGACCAUAAUAUGAAUUU